AUUGAACGCUGGCGGCAGGCCUAACACAUGCAAGUCGAACGAGUGGCGGACGGGUGAGUAAUGUCUGGGAAACUGCCUGAUGGAGGGGGAUAACUACUGGAAACGGUAGCUAAUACCGCAUACCCUCGGAUGUGCCCAGAUGGGAUUAGCGAGUAGGUGGGGUAAAGGCUCACCUAGGAGACGAUCCCUAGCUGGUCUGAGAGGAUGACCAGCCACACUGGAACGGAGACACGGUCCAGACUCCGCCGUGAGGCAGCAGUGGGGAAUCGGGCACAAUGGGCGCGAGCCUGAGGCAGCCAUGCCGCGUGUAUGAAGAAGGCCUUCGGUUUGUAAAGUACUUUCAGCGGGGAGGCGUUACCCGCAGAAGAAGCACCGGCUAACUCCGUGCCAGCAGCCGCGGUAAUUC
This 406-nucleotide ribosomal RNA is filed under the name uncultured bacterium. Its description in RNAcentral is "partial 16S ribosomal RNA". It matches the Rfam family "Bacterial small subunit ribosomal RNA", at positions 29 to 526 of the family's 1533-position model. The record is from RNAcentral.